RNAcentral lists this ribosomal RNA (492 nucleotides) under uncultured bacterium. Its description in RNAcentral is "partial 16S ribosomal RNA". It matches the Rfam family "Bacterial small subunit ribosomal RNA", at positions 29 to 507 of the family's 1533-position model. The record is from RNAcentral.
AGUGAACGCUGGCGGUAGGCCUAACACAUGCAAGUCGAACGACAGCACAGUAAGUGCUUGCUCUUACGUGUGUCGCGUGUCGGACGGGUGAGUAAUACAUCGGAAUCUACUUUUUCGUGGGGGAUAACGUAGGGAAACUUACUCUAAUACCGCAUACGACCUACUGGUGAGAGCAGGCGAUCUUCUAACCUUUCGCUAUUGAAUGAGCCGAUGUCGGAUUAGAUAGUUAGCGGGUUAAAGGCACAACAAGGCGACGAUCCGUAGCUGGUCUGAGAGGAUCAUCAGACACAUUGGAACUGAGAAACGGCACAGACACUUACGGGAGGACGCGGUGGGGACUAUUAGAGAAUGGAGGAAAGCCUGAUAUAGCACUAUCGCGUGGAUGAAGAAGGAGUUAGGGUGGUAGAGCCAUUUUGUCGGGAAAGAAAAGAAGCACGUUAACCCCCCACGGUAAUGACGGUACCCAAAGAAUAAGCACCGGCUAACUUCGUG